CAUGCUUGCCUAGAAAAGUUGGACCAGAUUAUCCUUGAGGUGCCUUCCAACCUGGUAUUCUAUGAUUCUAUGAUCUGAAUGUCCUUUAC
Molecule: long non-coding RNA, 89 nt
Organism: Strigops habroptila (Kakapo)
Lineage: Eukaryota; Metazoa; Chordata; Aves; Psittaciformes; Psittacidae
Exons: 3
Source: RefSeq, a predicted model, not a curated record